UACGUAGGGGGCGAGCGUUGUCCGGAAUCAUUGGGCGUAAAGCGCGCGUAGGCGGCCAGAUAAGUCCGGUGUGAAAGUCACAGGCUCAACCUGUGAAUGCCGCUGGAAACUGUCUGGCUUGAGUCCGGAAGAGGCGAGUGGAAUUCCCGGUGUAGCGGUGAAAUGCGCAGAUAUCGGGAGGAACACCAAUGGCGAAGGCAGCUCGCUGGGACGGUACUGACGCUGAGACGCGAAAGCGUGGGGAGCAAACAGG
This 253-nucleotide ribosomal RNA is filed under the name uncultured bacterium. RNAcentral describes it as "partial 16S ribosomal RNA". It matches the Rfam family "Bacterial small subunit ribosomal RNA", at positions 524 to 776 of the family's 1533-position model. The record is from RNAcentral.